UUGGUGCAAAAGUAAUUGCGGUUUUUGCCAUUACUUUUCAAAUGGCAAAAACCGCAACUACUUUUGCACCAACCUAAUA
RNAcentral lists this microRNA precursor (79 nucleotides) under Saimiri boliviensis boliviensis (Bolivian squirrel monkey). RNAcentral describes it as "miRNA (ENSSBOG00000008397.1)". The record is from RNAcentral. Lineage: Eukaryota; Metazoa; Chordata; Mammalia; Primates; Cebidae.